CGUAGGUGCGAGCGUUGUCCGGAUUAUUGGGCGUAAAGAGCUUGUAGGCGGCUUGUCGCGUCUGCUGUGAAAUCCCGGGGCUCAACCUCGGGCUUGCAGUGGGUACGGGCAGGCUAGAGUAUGGUAGGGGAGACUGGAAUUCCUGGUGUAGCGGUGGAAUGCGCAGAUAUCAGGAGGAACACCGAUGGCGAAGGCAGGUCUCUGGGCCAUCACUGACGCUGAGAAGCGAAAGCGUGGGGAGCGAACAGGAUU
Molecule: ribosomal RNA, 252 nt
Filed under: uncultured bacterium
Lineage: Bacteria
Description: partial 16S ribosomal RNA
Rfam family: Bacterial small subunit ribosomal RNA
Source: RNAcentral